GUCUGUGUGAAUUAAUUAUAGAGUCUAGCCUGCCCACUGAGUGAUUUAAAGGGCCGCGGUAAUUUGACCGUGCGAAGGUAGCAUAAUCAGUAGUCUUUUAAUUGGAGGCUUGUAUGAAAGGUUGGACGAGGGACAGACUGUCUUCUUUGCGUAGCUUGAAUUUGACUUUUGAGUGAAAAGGCUCAAAUUGUAUAGUGGGACGAUAAGACCCUAUAAAACUUUAUAUAGAUUUAGUUUAAUUUUGAUGUUUGUAAAAAGGUGCUUUGCUAGGUUUAUAUUUCGUUGGGGCGAUGUGAAUAUAAUUUGUAACUGUUUGUUUAACUUAAUAAUUAUAAUUAGUUUUUGAUCCUUCUUUGUGGAUUAAAAGAAUAAGUUACUUUAGGGAUAACAGCGUAAUUUUCUUUGAGAGUUCUUAUCGACAAGAGUAGUUGCGACCUCGAUGUUGAAUUAAAAUUUUAGCUAGGUGUAGCCGUUUAGCUAGUGGGUCUGUUCGACCUUUAAAAUUUUACAU
Molecule: ribosomal RNA, 511 nt
Filed under: Macrobrachium clymene
Lineage: Eukaryota; Metazoa; Arthropoda; Malacostraca; Decapoda; Palaemonidae
Description: partial 16S rRNA
Rfam family: Bacterial large subunit ribosomal RNA
Source: RNAcentral